AACCAUAGAAACCUGCGGAGUACCUGCGGAAGGAUCAUUUUUGAAGGCUACACGCCGACAUUGUGAAACGCCAGAAGCGCGCAAGCGUGGAAGGCACUGCUUGGGUGGAGCCUAGCUCUACCCAACUUUUAAACUUUUACCAAUUUAUCUGAAAACUUGAAAAUUUAAAACUUUCAACAAUGGAUCU
RNAcentral lists this unclassified non-coding RNA (187 nucleotides) under soil metagenome. RNAcentral's name for it is "partial contains 5.8S ribosomal RNA, internal transcribed spacer 2, and large subunit ribosomal RNA". The record is from RNAcentral.